CAAGGGGGUCGAAUACUUUCGCAAGGCACUGUAUAUGCCCUGUAAUGCACGAGCCUGCGCUGAUGCUGUAACUAGCAAGUUGGUUGUCUCUUCUCUCUUCAGUCGCGUGCUGCAUUGUUGUUAAACUAGCAACCAACUGACCGGAGCCAGCCAAAGGCUAACCGGAGCCAGCCAAAAGCUAACCGGAGCCAGCCAAAAGCUAACCGGAGCCAGCCAAAAGCUAACCGGAGCCAACCAAAAGCUAACCGGAGCCAGCCAAAAGCUAACCGGAGCCAGCCAAAAGCUAACCGGAGCCAGCCAAAAGCUAACCGGAGCCAGCCAAAAGCUAACCGGAGCCAACCAAAAGCUAACCGGAGCCAGCCAAAAGCUAACCGGAGCCAGCCAAAAGCUAACCGCUUUUCUAACAUUUUACAGUACAACAAUUACAAAAGUUCUUAAACAUCAGUUACAGCAUUCAAUUCUCUAAACCCUUGGGAUAUUGUCAGGAGUCAUUUCCAAAAAUAAAAAUGUUCAGGAGUUAA
Oncorhynchus kisutch (coho salmon) is the source of this 521-nucleotide long non-coding RNA. RefSeq lists it as uncharacterized. The transcript is spliced from 2 exons. NCBI's taxonomy places the organism in Eukaryota, Metazoa, Chordata, Actinopteri, Salmoniformes, Salmonidae. The record is from RefSeq and is a predicted model, not a curated record.